Molecule: non-coding RNA, 48 nt
Filed under: Schistosoma mansoni
Lineage: Eukaryota; Metazoa; Platyhelminthes; Trematoda; Strigeidida; Schistosomatidae
Source: RNAcentral
AUCCAGUUGACGAGCCCCAAAUAGGGCAAAACUUACGUCAAACUGGAU